Molecule: non-coding RNA, 31 nt
Filed under: Mus musculus (house mouse)
Lineage: Eukaryota; Metazoa; Chordata; Mammalia; Rodentia; Muridae
Source: RNAcentral
UGCUAAGAGGCAGACAGUAUAGAACCAGAGC